Molecule: long non-coding RNA, 879 nt
Organism: Ipomoea nil (Japanese morning glory)
Lineage: Eukaryota; Viridiplantae; Streptophyta; Magnoliopsida; Solanales; Convolvulaceae
Exons: 2
Source: RefSeq, a predicted model, not a curated record
AAUUUAUGAAGUCAUAAAAGGAUUAAAAUUGCAGUACACUAAAACCCUUCGGUUCCUAAAAUCUAUAGAUCUUUCUGGGAAUCGUAUUGUUGGAAAGAUCCCAGUUGAGAUAAUGAGUUUGCAUGCAUUGGAGAACUUGAAUGUUUCUGGAAAUAAUCUAAGUGGAACAAUCCCUGAGGCUAUUGGCAAUUUGAGCAAAAUUGAAUCACUUGAUUUAUCUAGAAAUGAACUCUAUGGUCCCAUUCCACCAAGCUUGUCAUCUUUGCAUUUUUUGAGUCACUUGAACUUAUCAUUCAACGAUUUACAUGGGAGAAUACCAACAGGAAGCCAACUUCAAACCCUCAAUGAUCCAUCCAUUUACAUGGGCAACGAAGGACUUUGUGGUGGCCCUCUUCUAAAGGGUUGCCCUAGUGAUGUACCAUCUUUUGUUAAUCAAUCUACAAAAACCAGUAGUGAUGAUGAUGACCAUGAGUUUUUCAUGUGGUUCUAUGCUGGUUUGGGGCCUGGUUUCUUUGUUGGAUUCAUUGGAGUAUUAAGCAUUCUACUGUUUGCAAGAUCUUGGAGCUAUGCGUACUUCAAAGUUUUAGAGACGGCUUACAACAAAAUACUCAAUUGUUUUUAUUAAAGGUCAAUGCUAGUGAAUGAGCAAUUGUCAUGGAUCUUCAAUGUGGAUUACUCUUGACAUGUUGGAAGGGAGUUUCUUCCUAACUUGAAAGGCAAAAGAGUAUUGUUGAUUUUGAUAUAAUUUGCAAUUGAUGUUCAUCUUAUUUAUUAUUGGUUUUUCAAUGUCAUGUUUAUUGUAUUUGUCAUAUUUAAAAUUUGUAAACAAAUUCUUAUUGAGAUGUGUGUUUAAUAUCAUAUUAUGUUUCUAUUAUUACA